RNAcentral lists this ribosomal RNA (1958 nucleotides) under uncultured Nebela. RNAcentral's name for it is "partial 18S ribosomal RNA". It matches the Rfam family "Eukaryotic small subunit ribosomal RNA", at positions 114 to 1601 of the family's 1831-position model. Lineage: Eukaryota; Tubulinea; Elardia; Arcellinida; Hyalospheniidae. The record is from RNAcentral.
CCUUCGAUUAGAAUGAUGGUUAAUGGAUAACCCUAGUAAUUCUAGAGCUAAUACAUGCAAAAAACCCCGACAUUUCCUUUAUGGAUUUGGAAGGGUGGUUUACUUUUAUGAUUAAACCAAUGGGUUUCUACCCAAUAAAGAGGAAUCAAAGGAUACACCUUAAUCACAGACCAUUUUGGUCGGUGAGAAUCUAAACAUAUUUCUGACCUAUCAACUGUCGAUGGUGUCAUAUUUGUACACCAUGGUUUUUACGGGUAACGGGGAAUUAGGGUUCGAUUCCGGAGAGGGAGCCUGAGAAAUGGCUACCACUUCCAAGGAAGGCAGCAGGCGCGCAAAUUACCCAAUCUCGAUCCGAGGAGGUAGUGACAAGAAAUACCAAUAUAGGAACCAAUGGUUACUAUGUUUGGAAUGUGUACGAUUUAAAUAACCUGCUUGGGAACUAUUGGAGGACAAGUCUGGUGCCAGCACCCGCGGUAAUUCCAGCUCCAAUAGCGUAUGUUAAAGUUGCUGCAUUUAAAAAGCUCGUAGUUGGAAUUUGGGACAGAGCCUUCUAAGCCCUAUAAAUGGGUUAAAAGGAUGGAACGAGUACUCUAAAAUGUUGCAUUGACGGUUAUUUCUGUUCCCUAUUUUUUUAGGGGUAUGGAAAAAAUUGUUAACAUUUGCAUCAUCAUAUUACCUUGAAGAAAUCAAAGCGCCUAAAGCAGGUCUUAGGCUAGAAUGAAUUAGCAUGGGAUAAUGGAAAAAGACUUUGAUCUUGAUUUAUUGGUUUCUACAAGCAAUGUACAUGAUUAAUAGGGAUAGUUGGGGCCACUUGUAUUGAACCGUCAGAGGUGAAAUUCUAGGACCGGUUCAAGACAAACUACUGCGAAAGCAUCUGGCAAGGAUGUUUUCAUUAAUCAAGAACGAAAGUUGCGGGCGCGAAGAUGAUCAGAUACCGUCGUAGUCGCAACUAUAAACUUUGUCGCCCAAGGGGUAGUGGUAGUUACAUGAUGACACCCCUAUAACUUUGUGAGAAAUCACAAGUAUUUGGACUCUGGGGGAAGUAUGGUCGCAAGGCUGAAACUUAAAGGAAUUGACGGAAGGGCACCACCAGGAGUGGAACCUGCGGCUUAAUGAAUUAGGUCGUAAAAGUGGAUAUGAUAAAAAAGUAUCUGCUAGUCACAAGGAUGUGUGGCAACGCCAUCAAAUUGCGGGAAGUCCCUAAAGCUCCAACUCCCAAGCACAUUCAGAAAUGUUUGUGUGGCCCGGGGUAUAAUGACCCCUUAGGGUAAGGGAAAAAUGUUGGAGAUACUACAAUGGGUAAUCUGCAGCCAAGUCUAAGGAGGGGAAAAUUCUUCCUUUACCCCCCUCUAUGGAUGCAGUUCACAGACUAAAUGUUGGCGGGCAUAGUUUGCAAGUUGCGCAUCUUUGCUCAAGAUAUAGUCGGCCCCACUGUGAAAGCAGUGUCUACGAGGAGGAAAUGUGUAGAACAUCCCAUCUUUAUUGCAAAGAUCCUACACAUGGAGAGCCCGUAGAGAACAGUGAAUGAUUCAACUGUUCGGAAUAUGUGUAAUUUGACUCAACACGGGGAAACUUACCAGGUCCAGACACAAUAAGGAUUGACAGAUUGAUAGCUCUUUCUUGAUUCUGUGGAAAGUGGUGCAUGGCCGUUUUUAGUUGGUGGAUUGAUUUGUCUGGUUAAUUCCGUUAACGAACGAGACCUAAACCUACUAACUAGUUAAUGGUAACUUGGACUCUACAUAGGGACCUCAUAUUUAUCCAAACUUCUUAGAGGGACUCUUUAUACUUAGUGAAUGGAAGUUUUAGGCAACAACAGGUCUGUGAUGCCCUUAGAUGUUCUGGGCCGCACGCGCGUUACAAUGAAAUGCUCAAUGAGCAAUAUCCCUUGCCCUAAGGGGCUUGGGAACCUGUGUAAAGUUUUUCAAGAUUGGGAUAGGUCAUUGUAAUUAUUGACCUUA